Molecule: long non-coding RNA, 425 nt
Filed under: Homo sapiens (human)
Lineage: Eukaryota; Metazoa; Chordata; Mammalia; Primates; Hominidae
Description: HSALNT0089090
Source: RNAcentral
AGAAAGAAAAGCCUAAAUAAGGAUUUGUUCAACGGACCAUAACCAUUCAUGGCUCAAAGAGGGUUAUACUACUUUUGUGCCUGGAAACGUUUCUAGCAAAGUCUUCAUUUCCUGGACCAAAGGAUGUGUGAUUUAUGCGAAGAUCUGCCCUCCUGUUGCCUCAUGGGCUGGGACCUUUGGAGAGACUCUUUGUGUAUUCUCAAGAAAGGCUUAGUAUUUAGAAGGUGCUCGACUCCUUUUCUGAGAAGACUCUUUCCCUGAUUCUCUUCCAAAGCCCUGAUUAGAAUGAAACUAACAUCUAUUUGAAAAGGUAAUCAUUCUCACUCAGAUGAGUUCUGCUCUGAAAGUGAGAGGAAAAAAAAUCCAGAAUUGGGGCACUGCUAUAGACUGAAUGUUUAUGUCUCCUUCAAAUCAGAUGUUGAAAC